GGCGGAAUGGCCGAGCGGUCUAAGGCGCUAGAAUCAGGUCUGAAGAUCGAAUUGAAGACUAUCUAGUCCGAAAGGGCGUGGGUUCGAAUCCCACUUCCGUCA
This is a non-coding RNA of Polyporus arcularius HHB13444, 102 nucleotides long. Lineage: Eukaryota; Fungi; Basidiomycota; Agaricomycetes; Polyporales; Polyporaceae. The record is from the annotation of a GenBank genome assembly.